UACGUAGGGACCAAGCGUUGUUCGGAUUUACUGGGCGUAAAGGGCGCGUAGGCGGCGUGGUAAGUCACUUGUGAAAUCUCUGAGCUUAACUCAGAACGGCCAAGUGAUACUGCUGUGCUAGAGUGCAGAAGGGGCAAUCGGAAUUCUUGGUGUAGCGGUGAAAUGCGUAGAUAUCAAGAGGAACACCUGCGGCGAAGGCGGGUAGCUGGGCCGACACUGACGCUGAGGCGCGAAAGCCAGGGGAGCGAACGGG
RNAcentral lists this ribosomal RNA (253 nucleotides) under uncultured bacterium. RNAcentral describes it as "partial 16S ribosomal RNA". It matches the Rfam family "Bacterial small subunit ribosomal RNA", at positions 524 to 776 of the family's 1533-position model. The record is from RNAcentral.